Molecule: ribosomal RNA, 1289 nt
Filed under: Taeniogonalos taihorina
Lineage: Eukaryota; Metazoa; Arthropoda; Insecta; Hymenoptera; Trigonalidae
Description: 16S ribosomal RNA
Source: RNAcentral
CAAUUAAAAUUUAAAAAUAUUAAUUUUUAAAUUAAUUAAUAUAAAAAAAAUUAUUAUAAAAAUAUAAUUAUUUUAUUAUUUAAUUAUAAAAAAUAAAAUUAAUAAAGUAUUGAAAAAGAUAUAAUUUAAUUAAAUUUAAGUAAAAUUAAAAAUUUUUACCUUUUGUAUCAGGAUUAAUUUAAUAAAUAUUAAAUAAAUUAAUUAUCUCGAAUAUAAAAAAACUAAUUAAUUAUAAUAAUUAAUGUAACAAUAUUAUUAUAAAUAAUUAAUUAGAAAUGAUAUAUUAUUCAAUUUUAUACUUAUCUAGUUUUUUAAGAAAUAGAUUUAAUCUAUAUAUUUAUUAAAUUAAAAAUUUAAUUAAUGAAUUUUUAAUUAAAUAAAUAUAAAUAAAAUUAGAGAUAAAUUUAAUUUUAUAUAAAUUAAAUUCAAUUAAUUAAAAUAAAAUUAAAAAUAGAAUUAAAAAUAUUCAAUUUUAAAAUAAAUAUAAUAAUUUAUUCAUUUUUAGAUAUAAUUUUUUAAAAAUUAACUAACUAUUAAAAUUAAUUUAUUAAUAAUUAAUAAAAUAUAAUAAUAAUUAAAUAAGUAUAAUUAAUUUAAUUAAAUUAAAAAAAAAUUUAAGGAACUCGACAAAUAAAUUUUUCACCUGUUUAACAAAAACAUCGUUUUUAGUUAAAAAUUAUAAAUCAAAUCUGCUCAAUGAAUAAAUUUAAUAGCUGCAGUAUAUUAACUGUACAAAGGUAGCAUAAUAAUUUGUCCUAUAAUUAAGGAAUAGAAUGAAUGAUUUAAUGAAAAAAUUUUUGUCUCAAAUUUUAUAUUAAAAAUUAAUAUUUAAGUUAAAAAGCUUAAAUUAAAUUAAAAGACGAGAAGACCCUAUAGAAUUUAAUAUUAAAUAUUUAUAUUAUAUUAAAUUAUAUAAAAUAUAAAAAUAUUAAUAUUUAAUUGGGAGGAUUUUUAAAUUUAUUAAACUUUAAAUAAAUUAUAAAUUAAUAUAUUUAAAUUAAAUGAUCCAAAUAUCUUGAAUUUUAAAAUAAAUUACCUUAGGGAUAACAGCAUAAUUUUUUUAAAAAGUUCAUAUUUAAAAAAAAGUUUAUGACCUCGAUGUUGAAUUAAGAUUAAUAUAAAUGAAAAUAUUUAUAAUUUUAAGUCUGUUCGACUUAUAAAUCUUACAUGAUUUGAGUUCAGACCGGCGUAAGCCAGGUCAGAUUCUAUCUUUAAUAAAAAAAUAUAUUAUUGUACGAAAGGACUUAAUAUUUAAAUUAAUAUUUUAUUUUAAUAAAUUAAAUUAAUUA